Molecule: transfer RNA, 72 nt
Organism: Ovis aries (sheep)
Lineage: Eukaryota; Metazoa; Chordata; Mammalia; Artiodactyla; Bovidae
Rfam family: tRNA
About the family: Transfer RNA (tRNA) molecules are approximately 80 nucleotides in length. Their secondary structure includes four short double-helical elements and three loops (D, anti-codon, and T loops).
Source: Rfam
UCCCUGGUAGCUCAGAUGGUAAAGAAUCUGCCUGCAAUGCAGGAGACUUAGGUUCAAUCCCUGGGUUGGGAA